This is a non-coding RNA of Hydra vulgaris (swiftwater hydra), 649 nucleotides long. Lineage: Eukaryota; Metazoa; Cnidaria; Hydrozoa; Anthoathecata; Hydridae. The record is from RefSeq and is a predicted model, not a curated record.
AAAACUAGAAUACUCAUUGAUGAUGUAAAAUUUUCUAAUCCCGAACAACCUUGACCCCAUGAACACAUUGAAUGAAUUAUACAUUUUUCUUGCAUCUUUUUUAGGAUAAUAAAUAAUAGUAUAUGGAAUCUUGUGACUUUGGAAAACUUUUAAAUGAUGAAUGUCAUAAAAAAUGUUUUGUGCGAAAACAAGGAUUAAAAGAUUUUUGUAUUCUAGAAAUGGACUUUUAUCCCUUAUACUUGGAGGUCUGGCUGGCUUGCUUGAGACUACAUCAUACGAAGAGAUAAAGACUAUUUGUUAUCAUCAUGAGCAGGUCGAAAAACUAUCUCUCGAAAUGGCUCUUAACCUUAAAUCCUAAAAUUAAGAGACCGUAAACCAGGUUGAAAAAUGUGUCACUCAAGUAUUCAGUUUUUGUCAAAUUGUGAUGAAGUUUCAACAAUUUGUAAAAGCAUCAAUGAGCAUUGUAACAGCAAAAUGAAGUUUCAACAAUUUGUAAAAGCAUCGAAGCAUCGUAACAGCAAAAAGGAAAUUAGUCAAAGCCUACACAUAAAUGGAAGACGGAGUAGGACCAAACUAGGACAGAAACUAGGACCAAAGUGAUUUGUUACUUGAUUUAAAUGCAUUUUAAUAACAUAAAAACAUAAUUAAA